GGCAAUGGACGAAAGUCUGACCGAGCAACGCCGCGUGAGUGAAGAAGGUUUUCGGAUCGUAAAGCUCUGUUGUAAGUCAAGAACGUGUGUGAGAGUGGAAAGUUCACACAGUGACGGUAGCUUACCAGAAAGGGACGGCUAACUACGUGCCAGCAGCCGCGGUAAUACGUAGGUCCCGAGCGUUGUCCGGAUUUAUUGGGCGUAAAGGGAGCGCAGGCGGUCAGGAAAGUCUGGAGUAAAAGGCUAUGGCUCAACCAUAGUGUGCUCUGGAAACUGUCUGACUUGAGUGCAGAAGGGGAGAGUGGAAUUCCAUGUGUAGCGGUGAAAUGCGUAGAUAUAUGGAGGAACACCAGUGGCGAAAGCGGCUCUCUGGUCUGUCACUGACGCUGAGGCUCGAAAGCGUGGGUAGCGAACAGGAUUAGAUACCCUGGUAGUCCACGCCGUAAACGAUGAGUGCUAGGUGUUAGGCCCUUUCCGGGGCUUAGUGCCGGAGCUAACGCAAUAAGCACUCCGCCUGGGGAGUACGACCGCAAGGUUGAAACUCAAAGGAAUUGACGGGGGCCCGCACAAGCGGUGGAGCAUGUGGUUUAAUUCGAAGCA
Molecule: ribosomal RNA, 600 nt
Filed under: Streptococcus mutans
Lineage: Bacteria; Bacillati; Bacillota; Bacilli; Lactobacillales; Streptococcaceae
Description: bacterial SSU rRNA
Rfam family: Bacterial small subunit ribosomal RNA
Source: RNAcentral